This 71-nucleotide transfer RNA is filed under the name Capra hircus (goat). It matches the Rfam family "tRNA". From Rfam's summary of the family: Transfer RNA (tRNA) molecules are approximately 80 nucleotides in length. Their secondary structure includes four short double-helical elements and three loops (D, anti-codon, and T loops). Further hydrogen bonds mediate the characteristic L-shaped molecular structure. tRNAs have two regions of fundamental functional importance: the anti-codon, which is responsible for specific mRNA codon recognition, and the 3' end, to which the tRNAs corresponding amino acid is attached (by aminoacyl-tRNA synthetases). tRNAs cope with the degeneracy of the genetic code in two manners: having more than one tRNA (with a specific anti-codon) for a particular amino acid; and 'wobble' base-pairing, i.e. permitting non-standard base-pairing at the 3rd anti-codon position. RNAcentral also lists the same sequence under 1 other name. Lineage: Eukaryota; Metazoa; Chordata; Mammalia; Artiodactyla; Bovidae. The record is from Rfam by way of RNAcentral.
UCUGUGGUGGCUCAGUGGUAAAGAAUCCGUCUGCAAUGCAGGAGACCCAGGUUCAAUCCCUGGCUGAGGAA